CCGGGUCACACUCGGGGGAAACAGGCGAGGACUGGGGUGGGGGGUGGGGGUGGGAGGAUGAAUUCACUGGUCUGUGAACAACGCGACGCCAUCCCCCAGAUAGUCACCCCUCUGGAUCGGGUGGAAAUGCAACAACACUACUGGAUUCUGAUCGGGAAAUCCAGGAGAGUGAAUGAUGUGAUUGGUGAUGACGAUGUGGGUGCAGAGCUGUGGAGGAGCAGAGGGAAGGAAACACCUCCCAGAAGACUUGACAUCUGAACCAUCAUGAAAGACGGGCAGAGUCGGACCUCAGGCUUUACUCCAAUCCAACUUAAUCUCUGAAACAAUUAACACUGUACCUCUGGCUGCUGCAGCUGCUAGUUACUUGACCUCGGGUGUCAUACCCAACAACAAAGCCUCUCUGCUUGAAGUCUGAGAAACAUCUUUCAAGUUCUACCUUUUUCAGGAUGACAUACAGUUGGAGUCAGACAGUUGAUCCUCAAAAUUGAACAUAAUGUGAACACCAAGUUAAGAUCAUCUACAUAUUGUUCACUGUGGAUCCCUGUUGUGGGUUUGGAUAAAAUUUGCUUCUGUUCAGGCCCAUCUAUGUCUCCUGAAGAUCUCGUCUGCCGGCAGUUCUUUUUUUUCUCUGCUACUGCAGUGGAGGAGGAGGGAGAACAAGAUUGAUUGCAAAAACAGGCAAGGAAGUUAAGGAGGGAAGAUGGGUCAGCAUAUAACCGUAACACAAGCAACAGUGUACAAGCGUCCUAAGAGGGAUACAAAGAGCAAUGGCAAUAGGCAUACGGAGGAAGAAAAAAGAUGAUUGAGAUAAUCGUCAAUUUCUUCUUAUCCUGGCUUCUCUCCUCUGGAACGCUCACCUUGCAAAGUCACGCAACUUGAGGUCUGGGAGAUGUUGAGAAAGGCUUACCGGUCACACUCAGCUGCUACUGAUUCUUUCUGGUUUGGCCUUCUUAAAAUGACUCUGUGAGUUUGGCCGAGUAUUUUACAGCUCUUUCCCUAGUCAGAGUUUUUGUAGAGAGGGUGUAAUAUUUACACCAUGGGUAUACAGUAACUUAAUAAAUGGCUUUAGAGUGCUUUAGGGUUCACGGAUAAAAGACAUAAUAAAUUCAAAGUAUUACUUUUUUUCCUUUGACAAGCCAUUCACCAUAAUAAAAUCCAAGCUACCAAGAUACAGAAGGAUCGUAGUGUCAAUACCUGAAAAAUAACGUGCCACAGUUGGGAUUCACAGUCUUUGCUAAACAGUUGGGUGUUUCCUUUUUGGAAUCAGCAGAUUCUUUUAAUCACACAAGGCCGGGGAUUCCUGGGUGGCUCAGCGGUUUGGCGCCUGCCUUUGGCCCGGGGCGUGGUCCUGGAGUCU
Long non-coding RNA from Canis lupus familiaris (dog), 1357 nucleotides. RefSeq lists it as uncharacterized. The record is from RefSeq and is a predicted model, not a curated record. NCBI's taxonomy places the organism in Eukaryota, Metazoa, Chordata, Mammalia, Carnivora, Canidae. The transcript has 5 exons.